This 495-nucleotide ribosomal RNA is filed under the name uncultured bacterium. Its description in RNAcentral is "partial 16S ribosomal RNA". It matches the Rfam family "Bacterial small subunit ribosomal RNA", at positions 28 to 507 of the family's 1533-position model. The record is from RNAcentral.
GACGAACGCUGGCGGCGUGCCUAAUACAUGCAAGUAGAACGCUGGAGGAGGAGCUUGCUUCUCUGGAUGAGUUGCGAACGGGUGAGUAACGCGUAGGUAACCUGCCUGGUAGCGGGGGAUAACUAUUGGAAACGAUAGCUAAUACCGCAUAAGAGUAGAUGUCGCAUGACAUUUGCUUAAAAGGUGCAAUUGCAUCACUACCAGAUGGACCUGCGUUGUAUUAGCUAGUUGGUGAGGUAACGGCUCACCAAGGCAACGAUACAUAGCCGACCUGAGAGGGUGAUCGGCCACACUGGGACUGAGACACGGCCCAGACUCCUACGGGAGGCAGCAGUAGGGAAUCUUCGGCAAUGGACGGAAGUCUGACCGAGCAACGCCGCGUGAGUGAAGAAGGUUUUCGGAUCGUAAAGCUCUGUUGUAAGAGAAGAACGAGUGUGAGAGUGGAAAGUUCACACUGUGACGGUAUCUUACCAGAAAGGGACGGCUAACUACGUG